This 218-nucleotide unclassified non-coding RNA is filed under the name uncultured fungus. RNAcentral's name for it is "sequence contains ITS1". The record is from RNAcentral. Lineage: Eukaryota; Fungi.
CAAGUGCGAUACGUAGUGCGAGACGCACCUGUGAGACAUUGAGUUUUUGAACGCAUUUUGCACUCGCAAGAGUACAUCUGUCAGAGUCGGAGAGAAUAUGUAACGAUGGUUAUAUUUGUGUACUAGUGUACAUGGAGACAAUAAGAGAAACAGACAAAUAGUCUAUUCUCUAUCUACCACUUUCGCUCUGAUCAGAUGAGAGCACCCGCUGAACUUAA